Molecule: unclassified non-coding RNA, 253 nt
Filed under: uncultured Bacteroidota bacterium
Lineage: Bacteria; Pseudomonadati; Bacteroidota
Description: uncultured Bacteroidetes bacterium contains 16S-23S intergenic spacer region
Rfam family: Bacterial small subunit ribosomal RNA
Source: RNAcentral
UACGGAGGGUGCAAGCGUUGUCCGGAAUUAUUGGGUGUAAAGGGUGCGCAGGCGGGAAUCUGCGUCGAGGGUGAAAGCGGGCCGCUUAACGGUCCAAGCGCCUUCGAUACGGGGUUCCUUGAGUCCAGAAGAGGCCGGUGGAAUUCGUGGUGUAGCGGUGAAAUGCAUAGAGAUCACGAAGAACACCAGUGGCGAAGGCGGCCGGCUGGUCUGGAACUGACGCUGAGGCACGAGAGCGUGGGGAGCGAACAGG